This 1472-nucleotide long non-coding RNA is filed under the name Homo sapiens (human). RNAcentral's name for it is "IGFL2 antisense RNA 1". The record is from RNAcentral. Lineage: Eukaryota; Metazoa; Chordata; Mammalia; Primates; Hominidae.
GCUGACUCUCUUUUCAGAUUCAGCCCAGUUGCACCCAAGUAAAAUAAACAGUCUUGUUGCUCACACAAAGCCUGUUGGUGGACUCUCUUCAUAUGGACUCAUGUGACAUUUGGUGCCGAAGACCUGAGACAGGAGGACUCCUUUGGGAGACCGGUCCCCUGUCCUCGCCCUCUCUCCAUGAGAUCCACCCAUGACCUCGGGUCCUCAGCCCAGCCGAAGGAACUUCUCACCAAUUUUAAAUCGGGGACGCAAAGCCAACAAGAAUGAAGAAGUGGCCAGAUGUGAAUCAGUGCAAGGGCCCAGGACAGCGGAAGAGGUGUGAAGCCAUCCUGUGAUCGGGAAGCCACAGGGUGUCCAGACCCAGCGGGAGCCGAGGAUUCAGGAGAAUCUCCCCAGUCAGCUCCAGAGGUGCCCACAGUGUGAGCUCUAGUGUCUCCCAGGAAAUUAAAGCAAUGUGAACACCCUCUGGCCAGCCUGUUGGAGGGUGAGAGACCACAUGGAGGAGACAGAGCCCUGAUGUCCCAGCUGAGGACAUCCCAGAAAAGCCUAUUUCCAGACAACUGAGGACAGGUGAAUGAGUUCUUUGUAGAUGAACCAGAAUCCAGUCUAUCUACCUGCUGAGCACAGACAUGUGAGCAACCCCCCCAUCAAGGUCAACUGAGCCUGGCCCAGAUCAACAGAAUCACGAGAUGACCUAUGGACUCAGGAGCAAUCAUGAUGUGGUUGUUCCAUGACACUGAAUGUAGAGGUCGUUGAUUCUGCAGCACCAGCAAACUGACACAUAACACCGUGUUUAAUAUUGGGUUCUGGGCUUUGGGGUCCCUGCAGAGUUCCUGAUUUCAGCCCCAAGGGCUCAUUCACAAAUUUAUUACUCAGAUUCUACCCUGUCAACCCAGGACGUGUUACUUACACAUUUCCCAGUGUGGGCAGCAAGCCACCCAGGUGCCGAGGCAAGAGACCGAGGGCACAAGCUGUUCCAGUAUAAUAAAGAAAACAUAUAAAAUAAGAAUAGUUAUACUAGAUAUAGAUCGUAGAUAUGAUUAUAUAUGAAUAUUACUAAUCAUUAGUCUGUAGCAAUUACUCUUUAUUCCAUUAUAAUAAUAAUCUUCUCUCUACAAUUAUAACUUAAGAGAAACCAGGCCAUACAGAGAUAGGAGCUGAACGGACACAGUGAGAAAUGACCAGAAGACAAGAGUGUGAGCCUUCUAUUAUGCCCCGACAGGGCCACUAGAGGGCUCCUUAGUCUAGCGUUAAUGCCAGUGCCCGGGAAGAUGCCCGUUACCUAGCCGACUUUGGUCUAGCGGUAGCGUCAGUGCCCAGGAAAAGCACCCACUACUUAGCAGACUGGGAAAAGGAGUGUCCCUUUCCCCGGGGGAGUUAGAGAAGACUCUGCUCCACCACCUCUUGUGGAGGGCCUGACAUCCGUCAGGCCUGCCCGCAGUUAUCCAGAGGCCUGUCUCCCUGUGAUGCUG